AGCAGUGUGAUAUAAUGGUUUGAGGGUUGAACUAGGACUCCAGGAGACCAGGGUUCAAUUCCCUGCUCAGCUG
RNAcentral lists this transfer RNA (73 nucleotides) under Phrynosoma platyrhinos (Desert horned lizard). Its description in RNAcentral is "tRNA-OTHER". It matches the Rfam family "tRNA". Rfam says of the family: Transfer RNA (tRNA) molecules are approximately 80 nucleotides in length. Their secondary structure includes four short double-helical elements and three loops (D, anti-codon, and T loops). Further hydrogen bonds mediate the characteristic L-shaped molecular structure. tRNAs have two regions of fundamental functional importance: the anti-codon, which is responsible for specific mRNA codon recognition, and the 3' end, to which the tRNAs corresponding amino acid is attached (by aminoacyl-tRNA synthetases). tRNAs cope with the degeneracy of the genetic code in two manners: having more than one tRNA (with a specific anti-codon) for a particular amino acid; and 'wobble' base-pairing, i.e. permitting non-standard base-pairing at the 3rd anti-codon position. The record is from RNAcentral. Lineage: Eukaryota; Metazoa; Chordata; Lepidosauria; Squamata; Phrynosomatidae.